RNAcentral lists this ribosomal RNA (2905 nucleotides) under Salmonella enterica subsp. enterica serovar Indiana. RNAcentral describes it as "23S ribosomal RNA". It matches the Rfam family "Bacterial large subunit ribosomal RNA". The record is from RNAcentral. Lineage: Bacteria; Pseudomonadati; Pseudomonadota; Gammaproteobacteria; Enterobacterales; Enterobacteriaceae.
GGUUAAGCGACUAAGCGUACACGGUGGAUGCCCUGGCAGUCAGAGGCGAUGAAGGACGUGCUAAUCUGCGAUAAGCGCCGGUAAGGUGAUAUGAACCGUUAUAACCGGCGAUUUCCGAAUGGGGAAACCCAGUGUGACUCGUCACACUAUCAUUAACUGAAUCCAUAGGUUAAUGAGGCGAACCGGGGGAACUGAAACAUCUAAGUACCCCGAGGAAAAGAAAUCAACCGAGAUUCCCCCAGUAGCGGCGAGCGAACGGGGAGGAGCCCAGAGCCUGAAUCAGCAUGUGUGUUAGUGGAAGCGUCUGGAAAGGCGCGCGAUACAGGGUGACAGCCCCGUACACAAAAGCGCAUGUGCUGUGAGCUCGAUGAGUAGGGCGGGACACGUGGUAUCCUGUCUGAAUAUGGGGGGACCAUCCUCCAAGGCUAAAUACUCCUGACUGACCGAUAGUGAACCAGUACCGUGAGGGAAAGGCGAAAAGAACCCCGGCGAGGGGAGUGAAAAAGAACCUGAAACCGUGUACGUACAAGCAGUGGGAGCACCCUUCGGGGUGUGACUGCGUACCUUUUGUAUAAUGGGUCAGCGACUUAUAUUCUGUAGCAAGGUUAACCGAAUAGGGGAGCCGGAGGGAAACCGAGUCUUAAUUGGGCGUUAAGUUGCAGGGUAUAGACCCGAAACCCGGUGAUCUAGCCAUGGGCAGGUUGAAGGUUGGGUAACACUAACUGGAGGACCGAACCGACUAAUGUUGAAAAAUUAGCGGAUGACCUGUGGCUGGGGGUGAAAGGCCAAUCAAACCGGGAGAUAGCUGGUUCUCCCCGAAAGCUAUUUAGGUAGCGCCUCGUGAAUUCAUCUCCGGGGGUAGAGCACUGUUUCGGCUAGGGGGCCAUCCCGGCUUACCAACCCGAUGCAAACUGCGAAUACCGGAGAAUGUUAUCACGGGAGACACACGGCGGGUGCUAACGUCCGUCGUGAAGAGGGAAACAACCCAGACCGCCAGCUAAGGUCCCAAAGUCAUGGUUAAGUGGGAAACGAUGUGGGAAGGCCCAGACAGCCAGGAUGUUGGCUUAGAAGCAGCCAUCAUUUAAAGAAAGCGUAAUAGCUCACUGGUCGAGUCGGCCUGCGCGGAAGAUGUAACGGGGCUAAACCAUGCACCGAAGCUGCGGCAGCGACACUGUGUGUUGUUGGGUAGGGGAGCGUUCUGUAAGCCUGCGAAGGUGGCCUGUGAGGGUUGCUGGAGGUAUCAGAAGUGCGAAUGCUGACAUAAGUAACGAUAAAGCGGGUGAAAAGCCCGCUCGCCGGAAGACCAAGGGUUCCUGUCCAACGUUAAUCGGGGCAGGGUGAGUCGACCCCUAAGGCGAGGCCGAAAGGCGUAGUCGAUGGGAAACGGGUUAAUAUUCCCGUACUUGGUGUUACUGCGAAGGGGGGACGGAGAAGGCUAUGUUGGCCGGGCGACGGUUGUCCCGGUUUAAGCGUGUAGGUGUGUGUUCCAGGUAAAUCCGGUUCACUUUAACACUGAGGCGUGACGACGAGGCACUACGGUGCUGAAGCAACAAAUGCCCUGCUUCCAGGAAAAGCCUCUAAGCAUCAGGUAACAUCAAAUCGUACCCCAAACCGACACAGGUGGUCAGGUAGAGAAUACCAAGGCGCUUGAGAGAACUCGGGUGAAGGAACUAGGCAAAAUGGUGCCGUAACUUCGGGAGAAGGCACGCUGACAUGUAGGUGAAGUGAUUUACUCAUGGAGCUGAAGUCAGUCGAAGAUACCAGCUGGCUGCAACUGUUUAUUAAAAACACAGCACUGUGCAAACACGAAAGUGGACGUAUACGGUGUGACGCCUGCCCGGUGCCGGAAGGUUAAUUGAUGGGGUCAGCGCAAGCGAAGCUCCUGAUCGAAGCCCCGGUAAACGGCGGCCGUAACUAUAACGGUCCUAAGGUAGCGAAAUUCCUUGUCGGGUAAGUUCCGACCUGCACGAAUGGCGUAAUGAUGGCCAGGCUGUCUCCACCCGAGACUCAGUGAAAUUGAACUCGCUGUGAAGAUGCAGUGUACCCGCGGCAAGACGGAAAGACCCCGUGAACCUUUACUAUAGCUUGACACUGAACAUUGAGCCUUGAUGUGUAGGAUAGGUGGGAGGCUUUGAAGCGUGGACGCCAGUCUGCAUGGAGCCGACCUUGAAAUACCACCCUUUAAUGUUUGAUGUUCUAACGUGGACCCGUAAUCCGGGUUGCGGACAGUGUCUGGUGGGUAGUUUGACUGGGGCGGUCUCCUCCUAAAGAGUAACGGAGGAGCACGAAGGUUGGCUAAUCCUGGUCGGACAUCAGGAGGUUAGUGCAAUGGCAUAAGCCAGCUUGACUGCGAGCGUGACGGCGCGAGCAGGUGCGAAAGCAGGUCAUAGUGAUCCGGUGGUUCUGAAUGGAAGGGCCAUCGCUCAACGGAUAAAAGGUACUCCGGGGAUAACAGGCUGAUACCGCCCAAGAGUUCAUAUCGACGGCGGUGUUUGGCACCUCGAUGUCGGCUCAUCACAUCCUGGGGCUGAAGUAGGUCCCAAGGGUAUGGCUGUUCGCCAUUUAAAGUGGUACGCGAGCUGGGUUUAGAACGUCGUGAGACAGUUCGGUCCCUAUCUGCCGUGGGCGCUGGAGAACUGAGGGGGGCUGCUCCUAGUACGAGAGGACCGGAGUGGACGCAUCACUGGUGUUCGGGUUGUCAUGCCAAUGGCACUGCCCGGUAGCUAAAUGCGGAAGAGAUAAGUGCUGAAAGCAUCUAAGCACGAAACUUGCCCCGAGAUGAGUUCUCCCUGAGACUUAGAGUCUCCUGAAGGAACGUUGAAGACGACGACGUUGAUAGGCCGGGUGUGUAAGCGCAGCGAUGCGUUGAGCUAACCGGUACUAAUGAACCGUGAGGCUUAACCUU